UACGUAGGUGGCAAGCGUUGUCCGGAUUUAUUGGGUUUAAAGGGUGCGUAGGCGGCAUUUUAAGUCAGACGUGAAAUCCCUCGGCUUAACCGGGGAACUGCGUCUGAUACUGGAUGGCUUGAGAUUGGGAGAGGGAUGCGGAAUUCCAGGUGUAGCGGUGAAAUGCGUAGAUAUCAGGAGGAACACCGGUGGCGAAGGCGGGUCUCUGGGCCGAUACUGACGCUGAGGAGCGAAAGCGUGGGGAGCGAACAGG
This 253-nucleotide ribosomal RNA is filed under the name uncultured bacterium. RNAcentral's name for it is "partial 16S ribosomal RNA". It matches the Rfam family "Bacterial small subunit ribosomal RNA", at positions 524 to 776 of the family's 1533-position model. The record is from RNAcentral.